This 497-nucleotide ribosomal RNA is filed under the name uncultured bacterium. RNAcentral's name for it is "partial 16S ribosomal RNA". It matches the Rfam family "Bacterial small subunit ribosomal RNA", at positions 28 to 507 of the family's 1533-position model. The record is from RNAcentral.
GAUGAACGCUGGCGGCGUGCCUAAUACAUGCAAGUCGAGCGAACGGACGAGAAGCUUGCUUCUCUGAUGUUAGCGGCGGACGGGUGAGUAACACGUGGAUAACCUACCUAUAAGACUGGGAUAACUUCGGGAAACCGGAGCUAAUACCGGAUGAUAUUUUGAACCGCAUGGUUCAAAAGUGAAAGACGGUCCUGCUGUCACUUAUAGAUGGAUCCGCGCUGCAUUGGCUAGUUGGUAAGGUAACGGCUUACCAAGGCAACGAUGCAUAGCCGACCUGAGAGGGUGAUCGGCCACACUGGAACUGAGACACGGUCCAGACUCCUACGGGAGGCAGCAGUAGGGAAUCUUCCGCAAUGGGCGAAAGCCUGACGGAGCAACGCCGCGUGAGUGAUGAAGGUCUUCGGAUCGUAAAACUCUGUUAUUAGGGAAGAACAUAUGUGUAAGUAACUGUGCACAUCUUGACGGUACCUAAUCAGAAAGCCACGGCUAACUACGUG